AACGAACGCUGGCGGCAUGCCUAACACAUGCCAGUCGAACGAGACCUUCGGGUCUAGUGGCGCACGGGUGCGUAACGCGUGGGAACCUGCCCUUAGGUUCGGAAUAACUCCCCGAAAGGGGUGCUAAUACCGGAUAAUAUCUUCGGACCAAAGAUUUAUCGCCUUUGGAUGGGCCCGCGUUGGAUUAGCUAGUUGGUAGGGUAAAAGCCUACCAAGGCGACGAUCCAUAGCUGGUCUGAGAGGAUGAUCAGCCACAAUGGGACUGAGACCCGGCCCAGACUCCUACGGGAGGCAGCAGUGGGGAAUAUUGGACAAGGGGCGAAAGCCUGAUCAAGCAAUGUCGCGUGAGAGAGGAAGGCCUUAGGGUUGUAAAGCUCUUUUAGCCGGGAUGAUAAUGACAGUACCGGGAGAAUAAGCACCGGCUAACUACGUG
Molecule: ribosomal RNA, 433 nt
Filed under: uncultured bacterium
Lineage: Bacteria
Description: partial 16S ribosomal RNA
Rfam family: Bacterial small subunit ribosomal RNA
Source: RNAcentral